Molecule: non-coding RNA, 1055 nt
Organism: Delphinapterus leucas (beluga whale)
Lineage: Eukaryota; Metazoa; Chordata; Mammalia; Artiodactyla; Monodontidae
Source: RefSeq, a predicted model, not a curated record
CUGACCUCUACAGGAUGUUUGGGUGAAGGUCAUUUUCUAUUAUAUGGCCUAUAAAAUCAUUUCCAUUGGGAAAGAAUGGCAGAAAAGUCAUCAUCCUUUGAAGACAGUUUUAAUUAAAAGCAGAAAACCUUAGCUGACACACUCAAGGCUGAAAUGCAGUCAGCGGAAAUGGAAACACUCCAACCCUGCCCCUGUGGCAAGAAUGGCUUCCCGUUAGACAAUCUGAUCAGAUUCUUGAUGGACCAAAGGGAGCAAAAGGAAGGAAAUCAGCAUACUAGACCAACUCUCUGGGUAUGAUGCAACCUCAACAACUAAGAAGAUCCUGAGCAGAGGCCCAGCUAAGCACAGUCCAGACUUUUGACCUACAGAAACUGUGAGGUUCUGAUUUAAUGAAACCAACCAUUUUGUACACUGCUCUGUUUCCUGUCUCAAGUGUUGCCUGGAAGGAAAGUCCUAGGUACUAAAAAAGUAAGGAUUACCUGUGUGCCUUGCGUUAUAUUUUUAUUGGCCAGCAGUAUGCAGUGGUGAAUUCUUUGAGUUUGCAUUCACCUUAAAUCUUAUUUUGACUUCAGUUUUGCAUGAAAAAAAUGUUAAAAAAAAAAGAGUCCUUCUGGAAGAAAGAAAAUGAUACCAAGUGGAACUAUGAAUCUACACAAAGAUGAAGAGUUUUAGGAGAGGUAACUAUAUGGAUCCACUUUAAUCUGCACUUUACUGUUCCUCUCCUCUGGGUAAUUCUAAUCUGCAGCCAGAGUCCUCCUACUUGAGCUUGCCUCCGGGUCAUGUGGAGGGUUGUUGAAACACAGCAUGCUGCCCCUGCCUCACACCCCUGUACACACCAAAGAGCUUCUGAUCCAGUCUGCCAGGUGCCUGAGCAUGUACAUUUCCAACAGGUUCCUGGGUGAUGCUGAUGCUGCACUAGAAUGUAUGGUAAGUCAGUUAAAUGAUGUCAGUUUAGUCAUUUCUUUAUUCCUGAUGGCUUGGAAAAGAAGAAAAGGGAAAGUGAAAUACAAGAAGGACAGACUAGGGGCGAAGUUAAGUUGUAUUUUCCCAUUAAA